UAGAUACCAAGCCCACAUGAGGGCAUUCCAUUGGGUCUUUAAUGGGAUGCCACUACACCAAUUAUUUUUUGUGGUAUUUCGACCAGCUGGCAAGGGAAAACAGGUAGUAGACAAACUGUUGAAUUCCAGAUCUUCUCUUAUGCUGGCUAUUGCCCAUUUCUCGACAAUAACGACCUGGAUGGCCUGUAUGUCAUCCAACAAUAGCUGUUCAC
This 212-nucleotide long non-coding RNA is filed under the name Carica papaya (papaya). RNAcentral's name for it is "long non-coding RNA (CPAP_LNC005616)". The record is from RNAcentral. Lineage: Eukaryota; Viridiplantae; Streptophyta; Magnoliopsida; Brassicales; Caricaceae.